Molecule: non-coding RNA, 178 nt
Filed under: Syntrophomonadaceae bacterium
Lineage: Bacteria; Bacillati; Bacillota; Clostridia; Eubacteriales; Syntrophomonadaceae
Description: 6S RNA
Rfam family: 6S / SsrS RNA
About the family: E. coli 6S RNA was the first non coding RNA to be sequenced, but its function was unknown until recently.
Source: RNAcentral
UAGACCCUGCUGUGUGCGUUUAAGCUGUCCUUGUUUUUGCCAACGCUGAAAACAAGGGAGUCUGACUUCCGGAGUUGAUGUAUACCUCAUGAUACGAGGGAACAGGAAGGCUACGGAGAGGACACCCACCUGCUAUGCAGGUUUAAACUGACGGUUUAGACGGCUCCGCGGGGCCUUU